GUCCCUUAGGGGGCAUUUGAUAAAUGUGGAAAAAUACUGAGAAGAUUAGCAUGGUUGUGGUGCAAGGAUAACAUACCUAAACCAAGUGAAGGUCUAAUUUUUU
Molecule: small nuclear RNA, 103 nt
Organism: Pistacia vera
Lineage: Eukaryota; Viridiplantae; Streptophyta; Magnoliopsida; Sapindales; Anacardiaceae
Source: RefSeq, a predicted model, not a curated record